This 1080-nucleotide long non-coding RNA is filed under the name Anser brachyrhynchus (Pink-footed goose). RNAcentral describes it as "lncRNA (ENSABRG00000016008.1)". Lineage: Eukaryota; Metazoa; Chordata; Aves; Anseriformes; Anatidae. The record is from RNAcentral.
CCUGGUGUCAUCGGUGUCCCCGUGUCCUUGUACCCCAACUUUGGUGUCCCCGUUGUCCCCAUGCCUUUGUCCCCAGCACCCUACAGACCUCCGUGCCCCAUCCCCAAUGUCAUUGGUGUCCCCACGUCCCCGCCCCCCAACUUUGGUGUCCCCGUUGUCCCCAUGCCUUUGUCCCCAACACCCUACAGACCUCUGUGCCCCAUCCCUGGUGUCCCCGUGUCCUUGUACCCCAACUUUGGUGUCCCCGUUGUCCCCAUGCCUCUGUCCCCAACACCCUACGGACCUCCGUGCCCCAUCCCUGGUGUCAUCGGUGUCCCCACAUCCCUGUCCCCCAACUUUGGCGUCCCCGUUGUCCCCCUUUCCCCGUCCCCAACACCCUACAGACCUCCGUGCCCCAUCCCCAAUGACAUCGGUGUCCCCAUGUCCUUGUACCCCAACUUUGGUGUCCCCGUUGUCCCCAUGCCUCUGUCCCCAACACCCUACAGACCUCUGUGCCCCAUCCCCAAUGUCAUUGGUGUCCCCAUGUCCCCGCCCCCCAACUUUGGCGUCCCCGUUGUCCCCAUGUCCCCAUCCCCAACACCCUACAGACCUCCGUGCCCCAUCCCUGGUGUCCCCGUGUCCUUGUACCCCAACUUUGGCGUCCCCGUUGUCCCCCUUUCCCCGUCCCCAACACCCUGCAGCCCGCGGCGGCCCCCCCGGGCCGUCCCCGCGGCCCCUCGCCCGCCUCCCCCAGCACCCGCCGCCCCCCGCGCCCCCCCGGUGCCUGGCCAGGGGCCUGCAGAUGGCGCGGUGCCGGUCGUAGGCCAUGGCCACGGCCACGUAGGCCGAGGCGAACAUGGCGACGGCCUGCAGGUACUUGGUGGCCCUGCAGAGCGCGUCGGGGCCCCGGAACCGAUCCGUCAGGUCCCAGAGGAGCUGGGGGAGCACCUGGCCCCCCGCCACCCCCAGGUCGGCGGCGCUCAGGUGCCGCAGGUAGCGCCGCAGGGGGGGGGCCGGCCUGGGGGGGCCCCCCCGGGCCAGGGCCAGCAGCACCAGGACGUUGCCCCCCAAGGCCAAGGCCAGCACGGCCCCCAGCACCCC